AACGAACGCUGGCGGCAUGCCUAACACAUGCAAGUCGAACGAGACCUUCGGGUCUAGUGGCGCACGGGUGCGUCACGCGUCGGAACCUGCCCUUAGGUUCGGAAUAACUCCCCGAAAGGGGUGCUAAUACCGGAUAAUUUCUUCUGACCAAAGAUUUAUCGCCUUUGGAUGGGCCCGCGUUGGAUUAGCUAGUCGGUAGGGUAAAAGCCUACCAAGGCGACGAUCCAUAGCUGGUCUGAGAGGAUGGUCAGCGACACUGGGACUGAGACACGGCCCAGACUCCUACGGGAGGCAGCAGUGGGGAAUAUUGGACAAUCGGCGAAAGCCUGAUCCAGCAAUGCCGCGUGAGUGAUGAAGUCCUUAGGGUUGUAAAGCUCUUUUACCCGGGAUGAUAAUGACAGUACCGGGAGAAUAAGCUCCGGCUAACUCCGUG
Molecule: ribosomal RNA, 433 nt
Filed under: uncultured bacterium
Lineage: Bacteria
Description: partial 16S ribosomal RNA
Rfam family: Bacterial small subunit ribosomal RNA
Source: RNAcentral